This 400-nucleotide ribosomal RNA is filed under the name phytoplankton environmental sample. RNAcentral's name for it is "partial small subunit ribosomal RNA". It matches the Rfam family "Eukaryotic small subunit ribosomal RNA", at positions 587 to 987 of the family's 1831-position model. The record is from RNAcentral.
AGCUCCAAUAGUGUAUAUUAAUUUUGUUGCGGUUAAAAAGCUCGUAGUUGGAUCUCUGCGGGUAGGGGGAGGUUCGUUGUUUGACGCUACUUCCCCACUUAUCCGUGUUUUUGGCAGAGGUUGCAGGGUGAUCUUAACCGAUUGAUCUGUGAUGCUGUCAGGUUUACUUUGAAAAAAUUAGAGUGCUCAAGGCAGGCUUUACACGCUUGAAUAUUCGUGCAUGGAAUAAUAGAAUAGGACGUCGUUUCUAUUUUGUUGGUUUUCGGAAAUCGACGUAAUGAUUAAUAGGGACAGUCGGGGGCAUUAGUAUUCAGACGACAGAGGUGAAAUUCUUGGACCGUCUGAAGACUAACUACUGCGAAAGCAUUUGCCAAGAAUGUUUUCAUUAAUCAAGAACGAA